CCUACGGGUGGCAGCAGUCGAGAAUCAUUCACAAUGGGGGAAACCCUGAUGGUGCGACGCCGCGUGGGGGAAUGAAGGUCUUCGGAUUGUAAACCCCUGUCAUGUGGGAGCAAAUUAAAAAGAUAGUACCACAAGAGGAAGAGCCGGCUAACUCUGUUCCAGCAGCCGCGGUAAUGCAGAGGUCGCAAGCGUUGUUCGGACUCACUUGGCCUAAAGCGUGCGUAGGCUGUUUCGUACGUCGUGUCUGAAAGGCGCGGGCUCAACCCGCGGACGGCACAUGAUACUGCGAGACUAGAGUAAUGGAGGGGGAACCGGAAUUCUCGGUGUAGCAGUGAAAUGCGUAGAUAUCGAGAGGAACACUCGUGGCGAGGGCGGGUUCCUGGACAGUAACUGACGCUGUGGCACGAAUGCCAGGGGAGCGAAAGGGAUUAGAUACCCUGGUAGUC
RNAcentral lists this ribosomal RNA (446 nucleotides) under uncultured bacterium. Its description in RNAcentral is "partial 16S ribosomal RNA". It matches the Rfam family "Bacterial small subunit ribosomal RNA", at positions 338 to 795 of the family's 1533-position model. The record is from RNAcentral.